ACUUUAUUCUCGAGAUGGUUUUAUUUUUUUAUUAUUGCUUGGCCCUAAUCCUCUUCCGCAGAAGCCCUCUGGUGCCCAGGGAAGAAAAAAAAGAAGAGAAGAGGAAGAAAAACGGGAUAAAGAUAGAGAUGCACUUUUGAAAUAUUUGAACCCCGUCCCUGCAAAUCCUGGGCCACCUGUUGCAGACAUCUUCACAUCAGCACCGCCCAGCGAUUCAGCACCAAGCACAUCUCUUCCCUCCAAUUCAGCACCACCCAGCGAUUUAGCAUCAGUUUUCAAAAAGACUGCUGCACCAUUAGACCCUGCUGACUGGCCAUCUGUUUUAAUUGAAAAGAUUGCACCCCUGAUCUGAGUCAUAAAGAACAGCUCUCUGUCAUUGUCAGGAUUGUUUCACUGGAAGAAGAAUCACCACAAAUUAAAGAACAUUUCAUGGGCUUUCUUGUGGCAGAGGAGUCAACCGGGGAAAGUUUGUCUUCUCUUAUCCUGAAAAGACUGGAGGAGCUGAACAUCCCCUUUGAGGACUGCAGAGGACAAUCGUAUGAUAAUGGUGCCAACAUGAAGGGAAAGAAUAAAGGUGUUCAGGCUAGGCUGCUUCAACUGAACUCAAGAGCCAUUUUUGUCCCAUGUGGUGCCCACACCUUAAAUUUGGUGGUAGCUGAUGCUGCUAAGAGCUCACCAGAUGCCAUUGGCUACUUUGGAUAUUUAGGAAAAUUAUUCAAACUCCUCUCAGCCUCGACCCAUAGAUGGGAUAUCCUCCUGAAACAUGUCAAAACCACCCUGAAAUCAUGGUCAGAGACCAGGUGGGAAAGCAGGAUAGACAGCAUCCAGGCAGUAAGGUACCAGGCUGGGCAAGUCAGAGAGGCUCUUCUGGAGGUGAGGGAAACUACUGAAGACCCUGUUGUGAAAGUUGAAGCCCAGUCUUUGGCUGAGGAGAUUGGAUUCUAGCGCUUUCUAUUUGCACAGUCAUAUGGUAUGACAUCCUCAACAAGAUCCAGCAUGUGAGUAAACUGAUGCAAUCACCCUCCAUGCAGCUAGAUGUGGCUGUUGACUUGCUGAAGAAAACCAGAUAUUCUCUUGACAGCUACGGCUACAGAAGUACUGGAUUUUCUAGUGCACAGGCAACUGCAAAGGAAAUGUGUGAGGAGAUGAACGUGGAAGCUGUAAUCAAACAAAAGCGGUUGAGAACCACAAAAAGGCACUUUGGUUAUGAGGCUCCAGAUGAGCCUAUUGGUGAUGCACUUAAAAAAAUGGAAACAACAUUUUUUAAUGUAGUGGUGGAUACAGCCCUCUCUUCACUAGAUGAGAGAUUUCAGACCCUCGGGGAGGUGAAUGACAAAUUUGGAGUGCUCCUCAACUUUCCCAACAUGUCCAAAGAAGAGUUGGUAGAGCACUGUCAGACCCUGAGCACAGCUUUAAGUCAUGAUGGACAGCCAGAUAUUGAUGGCAGGGAACUUGUAUUGGAAAUGCAAAACUUUCCACAUCUGCCAUCAAAAAACAUGACAAACAUUGAGCUCCUGACUUUCCUGCACAAGAAGAAGCUGACGGAAAUUUACCCCAAUAUGUGGGUCGCUCUGAGAAACUCUACCUGUUACCGUCGCUGCUGCUGAAAGGAGCUUCUCUAAGCUCAAACUGAUUAAAAACUACCUGAGAUCUACAAUGGCUCAAGAACGUCUCAGUGGACUUUCAGUCAUUAGCAUAAAUCAUGUGGUCUCCCAACAGCUGUCUUAUGAUGAUAUCAUAGAUGACUUUGCUGCUAGAAAGGCAAGGAGAGUAAGGCUGUAGAACAUUUGCUACAUUUUGCAUUCCAGUUUGUGUAUAGUUAUUUUUUUUUUUUUGUGUAUCUUUUUGUUUCUGUAUUUUUUUUCCACAAUAAUCUUAUAAUAUAAACUUAUUUAUAUUAUAUUUAUAAUUUAGUUUUGUGUGUGUGUGUGUGUUUGU
Molecule: long non-coding RNA, 1938 nt
Organism: Xyrauchen texanus (razorback sucker)
Lineage: Eukaryota; Metazoa; Chordata; Actinopteri; Cypriniformes; Catostomidae
Exons: 3
Source: RefSeq, a predicted model, not a curated record